GUCUCGCAUAGGCGGCGUCCCCCCUGCGUUCUCUUAAGCUGCACAGCCCCUGACGCGUGUGUACAGUGACGGAGUACGAGCAACUGUACGGCAUGGCGGACAUCCCGCUCCCCCGAUCUCGCGCCUAUGUUCGUGAUGGGCACGGUCGCCCUGCUCCCGCGGGCUCAACAGCAGACAACGCGGACGUGGUUGCGGCUCCAUUCAAGGCGCCUGGCAGCCAAUGCGGCGCUGUCACCGCGGCGUGCAGCACUUCAUCCUUGCGCACCUACGCGGAGUGGUACCUCCCAUCCGCGAGUGACUCUAACGCCUUCCCCUCUUCUGGAUCCGUGUCGAACGCGGCCACCGCUGCGGUUCGGGCAGUGCCAACUGUGGAGCACUUCAAGCAAGCGAGCCGCGCUGCUGGGCGCAAGCAGGAAGAGUACCUGUGGGCUCUCAUGCAAGAUGUCUACACGGAUGCCGAGCAGUCUGAUCAAUACCACCCGGAUGCCAUCGGAAUCGAAUCGGUCCAGCCGCAUCGUCGCUGGUUUGUCUCGCACUACGCUCAUCUACAAGCCUUCCUGCAACGCCAGCCGGUACUGCGCCGGGCGAACAUCAUCUGCCGCUGGCUGGAGAGCACGUACCGCGACAACUCGCGACACGAGCCGCGUCUGCGUGGAGAGGAAGAGGUGGUGCUUCGCCAGCUCAUCCUGACGUACCUGCGCGGCGGAGAACUGAAUCGCGCCAUUAGCGCCGCCGUCACCUACGAGAGCUGCGUGCACAGCUGCAUCCUCAGCGCUGCCCAGCUGCAGACGGUGCAGGAGCCGUGGUUCAGCCAGACUGCUUUGGUGCCUCUCUUUGGCGAGUACGCGCACGGCGAACUGAAUCAGGCAUGGUGCGGCAACGAAUACCGCCUCGACAACCUCUCGCAGCUGUACGAGGAGUCCCUAAAGUACCGCAGCGCCGCCGCCGCCGUUGGCGUAGAGGGAAGCGCGGCGCCGUCAACGCCGAGCGCCGUGAGCGACUUCGAUGCCGUAAUUGGUGCGGCGCUGUGCGGAAACCUUACCGUGUUGGAGAACGCCUUCAAGGUGAACGGGAAUUGGAAGGACAUGGCGUGGUGCUACCUGCGGUGCGCGCUGGUGGUCGCUUUCACGAAGCAGCUGAUAGUCGCCACCGGCGCCGGUGGCGAGGAGUCUGGUCGCCCGGCAGCAGGCGUUGUCGAUCGCAGCUACGCGGUCUUCAUCGAAGAGAUGACGGGUAGCGGUGAUAACUGGGCGGCGAGCUUCUCGCAGAAGCUGGUACAGGGCCUUGCUGCGCGCCUGCAGUCUGGUUUUCUGCCGCGUGCGCCGCUGGAAGAGCAGCUUCAGAUGCGCUUCAUCUUGCAAACACUCACGUGCACUGACGGAAAGCGCUCUCUGCUGUCUACAGCACCAUCCGCGGCGCCGGCGUCGACGACCUUACCGGGUGCGGCCGAGUGGUUCGACAUCGUCCCGGAGGAGGGGGACAGCGACGCCGCGCGGCUGAUCACGCACGUAGUGCUCGCGCAGGACGUCGCCUACGGGGAAACGCUGAGCCCGCACGCUGUUCAGGUGCGCGCCGGCGCAACGUUGGCGACGUCUCUAGCGCGCUACGCGGUUUUCUUAGCGCUGCUGCCUCGCUACCCGUUUGACGAGGGGCUGCGCGCUGUCACGGCCAUGACGCUGCGGCUCCGGGACCCGCGGCACCGCGCCCGCGUCUACGCCGCUUUCAUCAUGGCCGCGCGCGAGUACGAGCUGCAGCGGCAGAACCUCUCCCGUAGCGAACUCGAGGAGCAGGAAGCCCGCCUGGUGCGUCAGUUUGUGACCGCGGACAGUGACGCAAAUGUGCAUGCGGAGGUGCAGCAGCUCCUCUACCAGCAGGUCGCGCCGACAGAGCUGCUUACGCACAACAAACUCGCCGAGAAGCUCAUGUGGGAGGCCAUGCACGCGGACUCUCUGUCCGACUACCUCGCGGUGCUCCAUCGCUGUCUGUCGGCGUGCUGCAGCUUCUGGCUCACGGAGCCCGAGCCCGAGGUGGAGGCGAUUGCGGAUGUGAGCAGCAUCCUGACGCGCCGUGUCUUGGUGGAGAUUCAGAGGCGGUGCGAGACACACGAGGGCGGGCGGGCCGGCGAACUCACUGGGGGAGCGACGUCGCCGUCCACUCCGUCACAGUCUGUCAGCCCUGUGACAGAGCACGAGCGCAGCGAAGCAACCUUCUGGUAUCUGCUGAGCGAGGCACGUGGUAUUGCAACGGAGCACGCUACGAUAACUGCGCAACUAAACGCCGCCAAGCACACGGCCGCCUUUGCCGGGGCUGCAGCGGCGUCCAACCGCACACUCAUCUACCAGCUCACUCAGGAUGAGGCGGCGUUGCUGUGUAAGCUGGUGGAGCACACCCAGCGCGCUGUCCGGCACGGUGGCGCUGUCGUGUACCGCGACCGCCAGUGCCUGACGGCCAUCAUAAAUUUGGUGCAGCAGCUGACGGAGGCGGUGACUCUCUCGAUGCUGUCUGGUGUGGAUGAGAGCGACGUCGAGGAGGAGAGCCCUGCCUCGUGUGAUGAGCUCUCCCGCAUGCAGCAAGUGUACGGACUAAUGGAGGAGCUUCACAGCGCCGGCUACCUGCACCCGGCACUGCUCUCCCAGCAGAGCGCCAGUGCCCUCUACGCACAGAUACGCGCCAUGCGCGUGUCGUAUGGGCAGCGCGUGCACAGGCGACAAGUUGUGACUGCACUGCGCCAGCGGGCUGGCAGGGCCGCAGCAGAGGUCGGCCGCGUUGGUGCCUUCGUCGCCGUCGACGGUAAAUGAUUUCUGUAGCGAAAGGCUCUCGGACUCUUCAGACAGGACACCGCGCGGACUCGUGGGCAAAUGCUCCCUUUCGUCUGCCGCGCACGCAUCGCAGCCCCCCUCCCCUCUUCCUCCGCUUCAGCUGCGCCGUGGAAGUGGGGAGGGGCGAUGGACGGCGGCCAGCAGCCAAAAGAGGGCUGGAGAGGUGGGCGGAAGGGCGGGAGUGAGGGGCCUAAGAAGGCUAGGAUGCGCACAGCGAGUAAAGGCGCGACAGGCUUUGCCUGACAUGCCUCCCCCCUCUUUCGCUCGACACACACACACACACACACACAGACACACAGACACAGACACUCACACGUCACUGCGUGAUGGUCCCUCAUCUCUCGUCCCUUCCUGUGGUCUGCCUUGAAGGCCGUGCUUGGCGCGUCUUUUUCAUGUUUUGCCUUCGGUGCUGUGGCUGAUAUAACACGUAUAUAUACACACACACAAACACACCCUCCCCUCCGUCCCCUCCAAAACAAAAAGAGAGGGGGAGGGGAGGGGGAUGGGGAUGGGGCGGAGAAAAGGGUCCUAUAGAACUAAUUUCCAACAAAACAGAAACCCAGUGGUGUGGAGCGCUGCGAAAGACCCUCAAAACGAAGUGAACCGCAGUGGAUGCCACAUGCAGCAACACACGGUGGCAGCACCGGCCCCCGCCGGUGGAGGAGGGAGUACGGAGAACCGACGAAUGGAGAAGCCGUCUGACCACCCCGCCCUCCACCUCUGCUCCACGAACUAGGCACACGUGCGCACGGGUGCUGCGUGCUCGAGGUGGACGAAGCUGGGCAGGCUACGCCAAGGCGGUCUUGACG
RNAcentral lists this unclassified non-coding RNA (3628 nucleotides) under Leishmania donovani. RNAcentral describes it as "gene:LdHU3.33.3140(CDS-product:hypothetical_prote in_conserved)". The record is from RNAcentral. Lineage: Eukaryota; Euglenozoa; Kinetoplastea; Trypanosomatida; Trypanosomatidae.